RNAcentral lists this small RNA (113 nucleotides) under Marmota monax (woodchuck). Lineage: Eukaryota; Metazoa; Chordata; Mammalia; Rodentia; Sciuridae. The record is from RNAcentral.
GUUGGGCACCAUAGCAUCGCCUGUAAUCCCAGCUACAGGUGGCUGAGGCAGGAGGAUCACUUGUGUCCAAGAUUCAAGGCUGGCAUGGGCAGCAUAGCCAGACCCUGUCUCUU